CCUACGGGAGGCAGCAGUGGGGGAUAUUGCACAAUGGAGGAAACUCUGAUGCAGCGACGCCGCGUGAGGGAAGACGGUCUUCGGAUUGUAAACCUCUGUCUUUGGGGAAGAAAAUGGCGGUACCCAAAGAGGAAGCUCCGGCUAACUACGUGCCAGCAGCCGCGGUAAUACGUAGGGAGCGAGCGUUGUCCGGAAUUACUGGGGGUAAAGGGAGGGGUGGCGGGCGAGAAAGUUGAAUGGUAAAUCUACAGGCUUACCUGGUAGCUGCAUUCAAAACUUCUGGUCGUGAUUGAAGGAGAGGCAGGCGGAAUUCCUAGUGUAGCGGUGAAAUGCGUAGAUAUUAGGAGGAACACCAGUGGCGAAGGCGGCCUGCUGGGCUUUAACUGACGCUGAGGCUCGAAAGCGUGGGGAGCAAACAGGAUUAGAUACCCUUGUAGGC
This 439-nucleotide ribosomal RNA is filed under the name uncultured bacterium. RNAcentral's name for it is "partial 16S ribosomal RNA". It matches the Rfam family "Bacterial small subunit ribosomal RNA", at positions 338 to 795 of the family's 1533-position model. The record is from RNAcentral.